ACUCGAGUCUUUGACGCAAGUUGCGCCCAAAGCCAUUAGGUUGAGGGCACGCCUGCCUGGGUGUCACACAACGCCACCCCCACACUUAAAGUGUGCAAUGGGGUGAAAGUUGACCUCCCGCGAGCUAGUUCCUUGUGGUUGGUUGAAAAGUAAGUUCACGGUGGAGUUCCCCGCGAUAAAUGGUGGAUGAGCUACGCUCGAGACCAAUCGUGCCUGUGUGACUCCAGCGUAUCGGACUUGUUGGCCCUAUGCGUCCUUUGUGCAAACGGAGGGCGCCACUAGCGAGACCUCAGGUCAGGCGGGGCUACCCGCUGAGUUUAAGCAUAUCAAUAAGCGGAGGAAAAGAAACUAACAAGGAUUCCCCUAGUAACGGCGAGCGAACCGGGAAGAGCCCACCAUGAGAAUCGGUCGCCUUCGGCGUUCGAAUUGUAGUCUG
RNAcentral lists this ribosomal RNA (436 nucleotides) under [Vigna] linearis var. latifolia. Its description in RNAcentral is "eukaryotic LSU rRNA". The stretch from base 285 to 436 matches the Rfam family "Eukaryotic large subunit ribosomal RNA", at positions 1 to 152 of the family's 3401-position model. The record is from RNAcentral. Lineage: Eukaryota; Viridiplantae; Streptophyta; Magnoliopsida; Fabales; Fabaceae.